Molecule: non-coding RNA, 101 nt
Organism: Marinobacter excellens HL-55
Lineage: Bacteria; Pseudomonadati; Pseudomonadota; Gammaproteobacteria; Pseudomonadales; Marinobacteraceae
Source: Rfam
GGGCAGGAUGUGUAUUUGCUAUACCGCCGCAAGCGUCGGCCUAGCAAAUCCAUGAACUUACUCGCCCUGGCGGGCUCGACGCUAUCCUGCUCUCCGAGGGG